AAUCCAGCCAUGCCGCGUGUGUGAAGAAGGCCUUUUGGUUGUAAAGCACUUUAAGCGAGGAGGAGGCGCUCUAGGUUAAUACCUUAGAAGCGUGGACGUUACUCGCAGAAUAAGCACCGGCUAACUCUGUGCCAGCAGCCGCGGUAAUACAGAGGGUGCGAGCGUUAAUCGGAUUUACUGGGCGUAAAGCGUACGUAGGCGGCUUUUUAAGUCGGAUGUGAAAUACCCCGAGCUUAACUUGGGAAUUGCAUUCGAUACUGGGAAGCUAGAGUAUGGGAGAGGAUGGUAGAAUAUCCAGGUGUAGCGGUGAAAUGCGUAGAGAUCUGGAGGAAUACCGAUGGCGAAGGCAGCCAUCUGGCCUAAUACUGACGCUGAGGUACGAAAGCAUGGGGAGCAAACAGGAUUAGAUACCCUGGUAGUCCAUGCCGUAAACGAUGUCUACUAGCCGUUGGGGCCUUUGAGGCUUUAGUGGCGCAGCUAACGCGAUAAGUAGACCGCCUGGGGAGUACNGUCGCAAGACUAAAACUCAAAUGANUNGACGGGGGCCCGCACNAGCGGUGGAGCAUGUGGUUUAAUUCGAUGCNACGC
RNAcentral lists this ribosomal RNA (588 nucleotides) under bacterium E-2-0-3B. RNAcentral describes it as "bacterial SSU rRNA". It matches the Rfam family "Bacterial small subunit ribosomal RNA", at positions 385 to 962 of the family's 1533-position model. The record is from RNAcentral.